AUGGGAACAUAUGGUUAUAUGCCACCUGAAUAUGCUGUUCAUGGAUCUUUUUCAAUCAAAUCAGAUGUAUUUAGCUUUGGUGUAAUUGUUCUGGAGAUAAUUAGUGGGAGAAAGAAUAGAAACUUUUAUGACCAUCAUCAUAAUCUUAAUCUUCUUGGUCAUGCAUGGAGACUAUGGAAUGAAGAUAAGGCACAAGAGUCUGGAUCAUCGUAG
Vicia faba (fava bean) is the source of this 213-nucleotide non-coding RNA. Lineage: Eukaryota; Viridiplantae; Streptophyta; Magnoliopsida; Fabales; Fabaceae. The record is from the annotation of a GenBank genome assembly.